UGCUCUCAGAAACUCAACUGCUCCUGCCUUCAACUCUUCACUUCAUAGUUCUUAGUACUAAAAACAUCGGGCGCUAGGGGAUCGUGGCGUUGCCUCCAUGCAGGCACUUUGUUGAUCUUUGUGGCUGAUUUUUUAUUUGCCUUGCUCUCUUUAUGUUGAUUGUUUUACACACCGGUUGUUUUUAUAGCAUUUGAUUUUUUUUUGUACUGUUUUGGAAAUAAAAACAGAAAAGAAAGAAACACACACAAACAGCAAUGUCGUAUCCUCAGGGUUACCUUUACCAGCCCCCGGGCUCUUUGGCUCUCUAUUCUUGCCCAGCUUACGGGGCGUCUGCUUUGGCCGCCCCAAGAAGCGAGGAGCUGGCGAGGUCUUCGUCUGGUUCAGCGUUUAGUCCUUACCCGGGAUCGGCAGCCUUCACUGCACCGGCCACGGGCUUCACCAGCCCGCUGCAGUACACCUCGGAUCCGGCCACUGGAUUCCCGUCAUACAUGGGUUCACCUUACGAUGCCCACACAACAGGGAUGGCAGGAGCGAUUAGUUACCAUCCAUAUGGAAGCCCGGGGUAUCCAUACCAGCUAAACGACCCAGCUUACCGAAAGAAUACGACGAGAGAUGCCACAGCCACCCUCAAAGCUUGGCUCCAGGAGCAUAGGAAAAACCCGUACCCCACCAAAGGAGAAAAGAUCAUGCUGGCCAUCAUCACCAAGAUGACCCUGACCCAGGUCUCCACCUGGUUUGCCAAUGCCAGGAGGAGACUUAAAAAGGAAAAUAAAAUGACCUGGGCUCCAAGGAAUAAAAGUGAAGACGAAGAUGAAGAUGAUGGGGACGGGGAAAGAAAAAACGAACAUUCAGAAAAGAAUCAGGACAACAAUGAAACUUCGGCUGAGGACGAAGGCAUUGGUUUGCACGUUGACAACUUAACAGACCACUCUUGCUCUGCGGAGUCUGACGGGGAGAAAGUCAACUGCAGGAACGUGGACAGCAUGUGCGAGUCUGGUUCAGAAACCAAGCACAAACUAUGUGAUGAUGACGAUGAUGGUGAGGACAAAGAACGGGGUCGAGGCCUGUCUCCUAAGCCUGUGACAUCCUCGCCUCUGACCGGGGUGGAAGCUCCCGAACGUAAUCACGAGGACACCUGCAGAAACACACAUAAAACGAGCCUGGAUAAAAUCAUUUCUUCAAGCUCACAAACUCAGACCAUAAAGCCUAAGCUUUGGUCAUUGGCAGAAAUAGCCACUUCAGAUCCAAAACAGCACCAGGGGCAACAUUCUCCUUCCUCGGUAUUAUCUUCAUCAACUCUGUCAUCGACGUCUUCAGCUAGCACUGUUUACCCUGCCUCUUCAAUCCUAGGAAGGCCUAUUUAUUAUACGUCUCCGUUUUACAGUAAUUACACAAACUAUAGCAACUUCAGCCCUUUGCAGAGCCAGGGGAUCUUGAGGUAUAAUUCUGCUGCUGCGACAGCUAAUGAGGGGCUCAGUCAGACUGUAAUAAAUACGACCUCUAUUCACAAACAGAGCAGCGACUCUCUAAUAAAAAGUAACUCAAACCAGGUAGAGCAACACUUCAGGCUCGCUAGCUUGGAAUCCAGGAAAGACCCCAGUGUGGUGUGCACAGUAGGAGCCCAACCAUACCAAUAGAAGAGUAAUACAAAAACAAAGCAAGGAAGUUGGUAUGCUUUUUGAUUUUGUCUAAUCCUUAGGUAGGUGUCACAAUUGCUUUGACAAAAUGUGAGCAAGCCAUCAUUCCCCCAUCCUCUAUUUUAAAAUCAUUUUCUAAUUCUGGAACACACCUUGGGCCACUGUAGAAAAGAAGACCCACUGUGUGCUAUACUUUCAUUCUACAGAAACUAAUCAGUUACCUAUGAAUUAAUUGUGUGUGCAACAUUAUGUGCAUUUGUUGGUAUAGUAGUUUUCCCCUAUGUUAAUUUGACUUUGGGAAAAAAAAAAAAAAUCUGUUAUUUCUCAGGAUUCCUUGAUUGCUUCAUUGCCACGGUAUAUUGUAUACUAUAGGUGUGACAUGAAUUACUGUAAAACAUAUUUGUAAAAGAUGUAUAAUGUAGGAAAAAAUGUCUGAUGAACUGGAGUACUCUUAAAAAGUGGAAAACAUUUGAUAUUUAUUUUUGUAAUAAUGGCGAAGAGCCUAUAAUUUAUGCAAGUUGUAUUGCAACGAAAUCUGAAAUUUGUUUUGUAAAUACAUUGACUGGUUUUUAUUUGAAACGUACUGGCAAGUUAAACCAUCUUUGGUUGUUAACAAGAAUACUUUUACUAAUUUAUAUCUUAAAUUGUAAAUAAAAACGGACUAGUCUGCAACAACAAAA
Acipenser ruthenus (sterlet) is the source of this 2317-nucleotide RNA transcript. It is a transcript of the gene named iroquois-class homeodomain protein irx-2-like, with no coding region annotated. The transcript is spliced from 5 exons. The record is from RefSeq and is a predicted model, not a curated record. Lineage: Eukaryota; Metazoa; Chordata; Actinopteri; Acipenseriformes; Acipenseridae.